This 253-nucleotide ribosomal RNA is filed under the name Roseburia faecis M72/1. RNAcentral's name for it is "partial 16S ribosomal RNA". It matches the Rfam family "Bacterial small subunit ribosomal RNA", at positions 524 to 776 of the family's 1533-position model. Lineage: Bacteria; Bacillati; Bacillota; Clostridia; Lachnospirales; Lachnospiraceae. The record is from RNAcentral.
UACGUAUGGUGCAAGCGUUAUCCGGAUUUACUGGGUGUAAAGGGAGCGCAGGCGGUGCGGCAAGUCUGAUGUGAAAGCCCGGGGCUCAACCCCGGUACUGCAUUGGAAACUGUCGUACUAGAGUGUCGGAGGGGUAAGCGGAAUUCCUAGUGUAGCGGUGAAAUGCGUAGAUAUUAGGAGGAACACCAGUGGCGAAGGCGGUUUACUGGACGAUAACUGACGCUGAGGCUCGAAAGCGUGGGGAGCAAACAGG